RNAcentral lists this unclassified non-coding RNA (200 nucleotides) under Phaeosphaeriaceae sp. RNAcentral's name for it is "partial internal transcribed spacer 2". The record is from RNAcentral. Lineage: Eukaryota; Fungi; Ascomycota; Dothideomycetes; Pleosporales; Phaeosphaeriaceae.
UUAAGUUCAGCGGGUAUCCCUACCUGAUCCGAGGUCAAGCGUUAAAAAUGACUUGAUGGUUGCUAGUAUUCUAGGCUAGAAUCGCAAAUUGUGCUGCGCUUCAAUACCAAAACACUGGCUGCCAAUUGUUUUAAGGCGAGUCCAAACACGAGGGAGUGGACAAACACCCAACACCAAGCUUAGCUUGAGAGUACAAAUGA